GAGGGAUUCGAUUACCUCAAAGGGACACGCUAUAAAUCCUAAAGUGGCACAGAGCUAUAGGAUCACAGAGCUCUGCUUACACCAUCAGUACAACCUGUGUUUCCCCCUUCCUUUUGGAAUUAAAUUCAACCACAGUUUACACAUAGCAGGUAUCCCACUUUGUAUGCUGCUUAUGUGAGUGUUAGAUAUGCAAAAAUGAGGAUCAAAGGAAUAUGAAUACAUAACAUAAUCCAUCGCGAUAAUGCCUUUUUCCUUUCUGCAUACUUACGAUCAUAACGUUCUUACAUUGAUGUCAUUAAAAGGCAUCGAAUGCAAAUUAAUUGCGGCUUCAUUGAUGGAAUAAAACGUGUGUGAUUUAUAUUAUGACUGAGCUGAAUGAGUGUCCAGAGUGUUUAAGCAAAGUCAAAGUCAAACCAUUGACUUGUGUCUCCCCAAGCUGCAAUAUGGCCCACAGUCUUUGACAUGCACACUGAGCACACGCUAAUGAGCCGAAUGCGUGUGAGUGUGUGUGUGUGUGUGUGUUAUACUGAGAGAGUCAGAGCUGGAGAGUUUUUUGCCGCAGAGUGAUUGUUCGGUUGAAUGGAUGUCCCCAAUAACCCUACAAACACAUACAGUACGUCCACUAUUAUAAUGGGAAAUGUUUGUGAAUAUAAAGCAGAGACAAGCUGGCCAGCUAAAGUGUUUAUUUACACAAAGAUGCUGAGCUUUAAAGAUAAGAAAAGAAGAAAAUGUCCUCUUUUUCUCCCUCUCUUUCCCUCCUCCCUCAGUGUUUUUCAUCACUCUCCAUUAUUACACCUUUUCUUUCUGUAUACCUUUUUAUUCCAACUCUCUUCUCUUUUCCUGUUCGCCUCCUAUCUCUUCUUCAUUAUUCAGGCUUUCAUUUCCUUUUUUCCUUUUCUGUUACUUUAUGCUCUUCCUUCUUUCCCCCUGUGUGCUUUACGGUUUGAAAUACGCUCACGUACUGUAUUCAAAGCUGCGUUAAGGGGAGAUUGAAAGGAUAGAAAAGGACCAUUGUUAAUGCAGUCUGAUGACUGUGACCAAAAGGUGUAGCAGGAAUGAAACUUUAAGUGGAGCUUGAGUAAGAGUAGAGCUUCUUUCAUGUUUUCAUAUUUAAUGAUGUCUCCUGUCUCUGUCACGUACUUAUCUUCCCUUUUUUCUCCCCCUGCUCUGUCUUCAUCUCUCUUUAGCUUCGCAGAAGACAGAUUUAGGACAGGAGUUUUACACAGUAGCCCGCGGGACAAAAACGGAUAACCAUCAUCUAAAUGUUGGGCUGCUGGGCCUCAAGUAUCUAGUAGCAAAAUAAUAUGCUGAACAUUGUAACCAAAGCGUCAUUCUGAGAUCAGUUCAAACCUCUUUGUUCCAGUUGGGUGUAAGGAGCCAUACAGCCUCUGGUGGCCAAUAGCAGAGGCUUUUAGACUCAUUGGUUUGCUCUUGUAUAAUUAAUUGUUAAUUUUUACAGUGUUAAUGAUUGAAGUUGAGUGUAAUCUGGAGCCUAGUUAGUUAGUAGUGAUAGGGCACAGUACAUUGCUUUUGGGUAACAGAACUUUGUCACCACAGUGACGCGUAAUAGACGGUGGUUCCUGACUGGUGGGCUCCAUAGUCAGUGAAUCCAAAGUGGAUCCCAGAGAGAGAAAAGGAGCUUAUUUAUGGCAGAGUGCUUUUAUUUUAAAGUACCAAUUUCCGCUGUAGAUUGACUAACAAGGGUCUGCCUCUAGGGUCAUAGAGGAAGCUAAUCGGCCUUAUUGACGUCAUAUAUACUGUGUGUAUAUAUAUAUAUAUAUAUAUAAAAAAUAGUGAAAAUAUUUUUUUCAUUAUCAGCAAAGUAAUUCUUUUCAUGCCUUGUUCCUGUUUAUCUUUUUAGCAUGUUAUGCUGGGAAUAAAACAGUGUUUUAGAGGCCUGGAUAUGACUGAAUUAACUGCUGUUGCAGUAUUAUUAAUGUUAUCGUUUUUUAAGCCUUUAACAGUUCUUUGUUUCAUUUUUCCCCUUUGGGUUUUAAGCUGCUCUUGUUUUAUUUGUGAGUAGGCCACUUCAUUCGCUCUGGUCAUGCACUAAAUGGAAGAGAUUACAUGUCAGAUUUAAAUUAGUUAAAAAUAAUACAUGUAGGUCAGAGUGGUACUAUUCCCUUGAAUUCAAAUAAAAUCUCUCGCUCUAAGUCAGUCCAUGAGAUUAACCCCUGUUUGUCUCCAGUCAGCUGUUCCCUGCUUGUUCGUGUUGAAAUGUGUGGUGGCUGAACAAUGGUGGUUUAGUUAUCUAAUGUGUUUUACUGGGAUUACCUCCACAACUGUCGGGGUUUGAUCCUUAGGUUAUGUCACGCUGCUGCAUGUCUCUGCUAUUUUUAAUUUCUCUGUGCAGAAAUUUGACUAAAACACCAUAUUAGCCUGCAGGCAUGUAUUGUUUUUCUGAAUUUUCCAAUAUGAAUUUACUGAUUUUGUUCCUAAAAACUCUACCUGAUAUUUCUUAUCAAGAAAGAUCAUAAUACUGUACUUUUCCAAAGAGUCCCAUGGGUGGUUUUGAUGUGGCAAACAUAUGCACCAGCACUUCUUUGUAUUUGUUUGGGGCGAGGAAGAGAGAGCCUUCACAAUAUCGCUUCAAUGUAGCGCCUGCUUUUUGAAGCACGUGUACGUGCUCGCAGUUGAUAACCUAGACAACGGCCCUCUUGGAGCAUCCCGAGGCUAUGCCAUUAAAUGAAGCGGCAUCGCACGCGCGUAAGUAAAUUGUUUUCCUCUCUAUGAAGCAGCUCCCAGAGGAAACACAAGAGGAAACGGGUCAAUUCCAGCUCGCAAAAUUGACGUUGGUGUGCAGAAGCAAACAGCCUGCUGCCCCCCAUUGUUUUAGACUUAAGUGGAGAGGUAAACUACAGGUCU
Molecule: long non-coding RNA, 2865 nt
Organism: Sebastes umbrosus (honeycomb rockfish)
Lineage: Eukaryota; Metazoa; Chordata; Actinopteri; Perciformes; Sebastidae
Exons: 2
Source: RefSeq, a predicted model, not a curated record